RNAcentral lists this ribosomal RNA (898 nucleotides) under Ilyonectria pseudodestructans. RNAcentral's name for it is "LSU rRNA". It matches the Rfam family "Eukaryotic large subunit ribosomal RNA", at positions 37 to 966 of the family's 3401-position model. The record is from RNAcentral. Lineage: Eukaryota; Fungi; Ascomycota; Sordariomycetes; Hypocreales; Nectriaceae.
AGCAUAUCAAUAAGCGGAGGAAAAGAAACCAACAGGGAUUGCCCUAGUAACGGCGAGUGAAGCGGCAACAGCUCAAAUUUGAAAUCUGGCCCUCGGGUCCGAAUUGUAAUUUGUAGAGGAUGCUUUUGGUGAGGUACCUUCCGAGUUCCCUGGAACGGGACGCCAUAGAGGGUGAGAGCCCCGUCUGGUCGGAUACCGAUCCUCUGUAAAGCUCCUUCGACGAGUCGAGUAGUUUGGGAAUGCUGCUCUAAAUGGGAGGUAUAUGUCUUCUAAAGCUAAAUAUUGGCCAGAGACCGAUAGCGCACAAGUAGAGUGAUCGAAAGAUGAAAAGCACUUUGAAAAGAGAGUUAAAAAGUACGUGAAAUUGUUGAAAGGGAAGCGCUCAUGACCAGACUUGGGCUUGGUUGAUCAUCCAGGGUUCUCCCUGGUGCACUCUUCCAGCCCAGGCCAGCAUCAGUUCGCUGUGGGGGAUAAAGGCUUUGGGAAUGUGGCUCCUCCGGGAGUGUUAUAGCCCAUUGUGUAAUACCCUGUGGUGGACUGAGGUUCGCGCAUCUGCAAGGAUGCUGGCGUAAUGGUCAUCAGCGACCCGUCUUGAAACACGGACCAAGGAGUCGUCUUCGUAUGCGAGUGUUCGGGUGUUAAACCCCUACGCGUAAUGAAAGUGAACGCAGGUGAGAGCUUCGGCGCAUCAUCGACCGAUCCUGAUGUUCUCGGAUGGAUUUGAGUAAGAGCAUACGGGGCCGGACCCGAAAGAAGGUGAACUAUGCCUGUAUAGGGUGAAGCCAGAGGAAACUCUGGUGGAGGCUCGCAGCGGUUCUGACGUGCAAAUCGAUCGUCAAAUAUGGGCAUGGGGGGCGAAAGACUAAUCGAACCUUCUAGUAGCUGGUUUCCGCCGAAU